This is a long non-coding RNA of Micropterus salmoides (largemouth bass), 238 nucleotides long. RefSeq lists it as uncharacterized. Lineage: Eukaryota; Metazoa; Chordata; Actinopteri; Centrarchiformes; Centrarchidae. The record is from RefSeq and is a predicted model, not a curated record. The transcript is spliced from 5 exons.
CUUCUGCUGCUGUUGUGUUGCUACAGAAAGUCAAAGGAUUCAAAUUUUGCCAAGACCCCACAGAGAACCAAUCAGGGCUCUGCUCCAGAUCAAGUGGUUUACCAGAAUGAAACUACAGUGCACUACUCUCAUCUGCAUGGUGAUGCUUGUCUCUCUGAAUCAAUCAGAGGCUCAGAAAACACUGAAAAUGUUAGAUGCAGAUGAAUCCAGCUGUCACAUACUCGUUGAUUCAGCUUAA